Molecule: ribosomal RNA, 447 nt
Filed under: uncultured bacterium
Lineage: Bacteria
Description: bacterial SSU rRNA
Rfam family: Bacterial small subunit ribosomal RNA
Source: RNAcentral
UCGGGAAUUUUGGGCAAUGGGCGAAAGCCUGACCCGGCAACGCCGCGUGAAGGAUGAAGUAUUUCGGUAUGUAAACUUCGAAAGAAUAGGAAGAAUAAAUGACGGUACUAUUUAUAAGGUCCGGCUAACUACGUGCCAGCAGCCGCGGUAAUACGUAGGGACCAAGCGUUGUUCGGAUUUACUGGGCGUAAAGGGCGCGUAGGCGGCAAUUCAAGUCAUCUGUGAAAUCUCCGGGCUUAACUCGGAACGGUCAGAUGAUACUGCUUUGCUAGAGUGCAGAAGGGGCAAUCGGAAUUCUUGGUGUAGCGGUGAAAUGCGUAGAUAUCAAGAGGAACACCUGAGGUGAAGACGGGUUGCUGGGCUGACACUGACGCUGAGGCGCGAAAGCCAGGGGAGCAAACGGGAUUAGAUACCCAGGUAGUCCCUGAGCGGGCUGGCAAGGCGCAU